GCCGUGGGUGUAGGAAUAUUGACAGGAUCUGUCCCUAGUACGAGAGGACCGGGAUGGACGUAUCUCUGGUGGACCUGUUGUCGUGCCAACGGCAUAGCAGGGUAGCUAUAUACGGACGGGAUAACCGCUGAAGGCAUCUAAGCGGGAAACCCACCUGAAAACGAGUAUUCCCUAUCAGAGCCGUGGAAGACCACCACGUUGAUAGGCCGGGUGUGGAAGUGCGGCAACGCAUGCAGCUUACCGGUACUAAUAGCUCGAUCGACUUGAUCACUCCCAUUU
This 279-nucleotide ribosomal RNA is filed under the name Ochrobactrum sp. 23A/997/2015. RNAcentral describes it as "partial 23S ribosomal RNA". It matches the Rfam family "Bacterial large subunit ribosomal RNA", at positions 2644 to 2925 of the family's 2925-position model. Lineage: Bacteria; Pseudomonadati; Pseudomonadota; Alphaproteobacteria; Hyphomicrobiales; Brucellaceae. The record is from RNAcentral. RNAcentral also lists the same sequence under 1 other name.